AUGGCGGCGAGGAGAGGCAGUCCGGGCCCGCUGGCCAACGCAUUGGAAACGAAAGAAUCGGGAGACCAGGGGUCGGUUCCUAACAAGAGGAUCAAAAUUGAGGCGGAGGUGAUGGAGUUGGUGGGCGGGAGCACCACUGACGGCGAGGAGAAGCAGCAGAGGAAGACGGCGGCGGCGGCGGUGGCAGGAGAUGGUUCCAAUGCCUUACCUGCCGCACCCACCACCAUGACCCGACCGCUCCCUCCUAGCACUAGACGCAGGUGGAUCUCCAAGCCUGCUGCAAGAGAUCCUCGUGACAAUCUUCCUACGGUGGUGGAGCCCGAGGACCCGGAAACGGCCGAGAGUGUGGCCAGCUCAAGAGACAAGGCGCUGGUCCGGGAUGCGGCACGCUCAACCGUUAGCGUCUCCUCCAUUGCGCUUGAUGGGAAGGUCAUUGACCAACAAACUAGAAUUGUCAUCGGCUGGAAAGAGACCAAGAAGUGCGCAAGGAUAUUGACUAGCUCUGAUAUUGUUGAUGGACUUGGUCCCAACAUUAAGCUACACAUUGGCUUGCCAAAUAGGACCAUCUUAGAGGGGCAACUUUUGUUCUUCAAUAAGUAUUAUGAUAUUGCUUUAUUGGAGAUCUCGUCAGAGUCAGACUUACCUUUGCAGCUCCCUUCUUUUGGAUCUAAUCCAAACUACGGUCAGGAGGUUUUCGUUUUGGCUAGGGGCAAAGAUUCUAAUCUGAUGGCCAGGCAUGGGAGGGUCCUGUGGUUCGAAGAUCCAAAAUAUUUAAACCGCAACUACCUCAUGUUGCUUAGCUGCAAUACUCCUAAUUAUGGCACUGGAGGACCAGUGAUUGAUCAUGAUGGCAGCAGUGUCGUUGGGAUGGCAUUUGAUAAUGGUGGUCCAAAUUCCAAAUUCUAGUAUUCUUGCCAUCUCCACCAUCCUCACAUGCAUUGAAAUGUGGAUGAAGUUCAGUCGUAUUGCUCGCCCCGAGCAUGGUUUGAGCUUAAGGACAGUGGAGCUGCUGGAGGUGUCGCUCCAGGCGGUGAUAUCUCUUGAUCACAACAUCAACAACGGCUACAUUGUAGAUAAGGUAUCAAUUGGUUCUACUGCUGAGAAGCUUGGCAUUAGAUAUGGAGAUGUGAUUGUUUCUUUUGAUGGGCUGCGUGAUCAAGCGCUACCUCAGUUGGAAGAUUAUCUUCUUUCUCUUGGUUGGGGAUUCUUGCAGGGAAGCACUGAUUCAAGCUCCACUGUAGAUCUCAAGCUCGAAGUUUAUGAUCUCCUUGAACGUGGUACAAGAAGCGUCACCUUGUCUGUUGAAUUCUGUCAUGCUUCAGAAUGA
Setaria italica (foxtail millet) is the source of this 1327-nucleotide RNA transcript. RefSeq lists it as uncharacterized. The transcript has 9 exons. NCBI's taxonomy places the organism in Eukaryota, Viridiplantae, Streptophyta, Magnoliopsida, Poales, Poaceae. The record is from RefSeq and is a predicted model, not a curated record.